CCUACGGGAGGCAGCAGUGGGGAAGAUUGCGCAAUGGGCGAAAGCCUGACGCAGCGACGCCGCGUGAGGGAUGAAGGUCUUCGGAUCGUAAACCUCUGUCAGCAGGGAAGAACGGUCACGGUGCUAAUCAGCAGUGAAUGGACGGUACCUGCAAAGGAAGCACCGGCUAACUCCGUGCCAGCAGCCGCGGUAAUACGGAGGGUGCGAGCGUUAAUCGGAAUUACUGGGCGUAAAGCGCUCGUAGGCGGUAUGUCAAGUCAAGGGUGAAAUCCCCGCGCUCAACGUGGGAACUGCCUUUGAAACUGGCAAACUGGCGUGUGUGAGAGGAUAGUGUACUUCCAGGUGUCGGCGU
Molecule: ribosomal RNA, 352 nt
Filed under: uncultured bacterium
Lineage: Bacteria
Description: partial 16S ribosomal RNA
Rfam family: Bacterial small subunit ribosomal RNA
Source: RNAcentral